CGUAGGAACCUGUCGCGCAGAGGGGGAUAACGCUGGGAAACCGGGCGCUAAUACCGCAUGCGAUCUUUCUUGUAAUGAGAGAGAGGAAAGCAGCAAUGCGCUGUGUGAGGGGCCUGCGGCCGAUUAGCUAGUUGGUGGGGUAAAGGCCUACCAAGGCGACGAUCGGUAGCUGGUCUGAGAGGAUGGUCAGCCACACUGGGACUGAGACACGGCCCAG
This 217-nucleotide ribosomal RNA is filed under the name uncultured bacterium. Its description in RNAcentral is "partial 16S ribosomal RNA". It matches the Rfam family "Bacterial small subunit ribosomal RNA", at positions 116 to 334 of the family's 1533-position model. The record is from RNAcentral.